This 1306-nucleotide ribosomal RNA is filed under the name uncultured bacterium. Its description in RNAcentral is "bacterial SSU rRNA". It matches the Rfam family "Bacterial small subunit ribosomal RNA", at positions 28 to 1381 of the family's 1533-position model. The record is from RNAcentral.
AACGUACGCUGGCGGCACGCCUAACACAUGCAAGUCGAACGAAGUAGCAAUACUUAGUGGCAGACGGGUGAGUAACAUGUAGGUAUCUGCCCUUUGGCCUGGAAUAACACGAGGAAACUUGUGCUAAUACCGGAUAAGUCUUUACGGAGAAAGCUUUAUGCACCAUUGGAUGAGCCUGCACUUGAUUAGUUUGUUGGUGGGGUAAUGGCCUACCAAGACUGUGAUCAAUAGCUGAUUUGAGAGGAUGAUCAGCCACAUUGGGACUGAGACACGGCCCAAACUCCUACGGGAGGCAGCAGUGGGGAAUCUUGCACAAUGGAGGAAACUCUGAUGCAGCGAUGCCGCGUGAGUGAAGAAGGCCCUUGGGUUGUAAAGCUCUUUCGUCGGGGAAGAAAAUGACUGUACCCGAAUAAGAAGGUCCGGCUAACUUCGUGCCAGCAGCCGCGGUAAUACGAAGGGACCUAGCGUAGUUCGGAAUUACUGGGCUUAAAGAGUUCGUAGGUGGUUGAAAAAGUUAGUGGUGAAAUCCCAGAGCUUAACUCUGGAACUGCCAUUAAAACUUUUCAGCUAGAGUAUGAUAGAGGAAAGCAGAAUUUCUAGUGUAGAGGUGAAAUUCGUAGAUAUUAGAAAGAAUACCAAUUGCGAAGGCAGCUUUCUGGAUCAUUACUGACACUGAGGAACGAAAGCAUGGGUAGCGAAGAGGAUUAGAUACCCUCGUAGUCCAUGCCGUAAACGAUGUGUGUUAGACGUUGAAAAUUUAUUUUCAGUGUCGCAGGGAAACCGAUAAACACACCGCCUGGGGAGUACGACCGCAAGGUUAAAACUCAAAUGAAUUGACGGGGACCCGCACAAGUAGUGGAGCAUGUGGUUUAAUUCGAAGAUACGCGCAGAACCUUACCAACACUUGACAUGUUCGUCGCGACUCUAAGAGAUUAGAGUUUUCGGUUCGGCCGGACGAAACACAGGUGCUGCAUGGCUGUCGUCAGCUCGUGUCGUGAGAUGUUGGGUUAAGUCCCGCAACGAGCGCAACCCUCACUUUUAGUUGCCAUCAUUAAGUUGGGCACUCUGAAAGAACUGCCAGUGAUAAGCUGGAGGAAGGUGGGGAUGACGUCAAGUCCUCAUGGCCCUUACGUGUUGGGCUACACACGUGCUACAAUGGUAUCUACAACAGGAAGCAAGACUGCGAAGUUAAGCAAAUCCCUAAAAGAUACCUCAGUUCGGAUUGCACUCUGCAACUCGAGUGCAUGAAGCUGGAAUUACUAGUAAUCGUGGAUCAGCGUGCCACGGUGAAUGCGUUCCCGGGUCU